UACAGAGGUCUCAAGCGUUGUUCGGAUUCAUUGGGCGUAAAGAGCUCGUAGGCGGCUCAGUAAGUCGGGUGUGAAACCUCCAGGCUCAACCUGGAGACGCCACCCGAUACUGCUGUGGCUAGAGUCCAGUAGGGGAGUGUGGAAUUCCCGGUGUAGCGGUGAAAUGCGCAGAUAUCGGGAGGAACACCUAUGGCGAAGGCAGCUCGCUGGGACGUUACUGACGCUGAGACGCGAAAGCGUGGGGAGCAAACAGG
This 254-nucleotide ribosomal RNA is filed under the name uncultured bacterium. RNAcentral describes it as "partial 16S ribosomal RNA". It matches the Rfam family "Bacterial small subunit ribosomal RNA", at positions 524 to 776 of the family's 1533-position model. The record is from RNAcentral.